GGACGAACGCUGGCGGCGUGCUUAACACAUGCAAGUCGAGCGAGGUCCAACCGGUGGCAACACCGGGGAAGACCUAGCGGCGAACGGGUGAGUAACACGUGAGAAACCUGCCCCGAAGUUCGGGAUAACCGGGGAAACCCGAGCUAAUACCGGAUACCCACGAUUGGUCGCAUGGCCGAUCGUGGAAAGAACUUCGCUUCGGGAGGGUCUCGCGGCCUAUCAGCUUGUUGGUGGGGUAACGGCCCACCAAGGCAUCGACGGGUAGCUGGUCUGAGAGGACGAUCAGCCACACUGGGACUGAGACACGGCCCAGACUCCUACGGGAGGCAGCAGUGGGGGAAUCUUGCGCAAUGGGCGAAAGCCUGACGCAGCAACGCCGCGUGCGGGAUGAAGGCCUUCGGGUUGUAAACCGCUUUCAGUAGGGACGAAAUUGACGGUACCUACAGAAGAAGCCCCGGCCAACUACGUG
Molecule: ribosomal RNA, 469 nt
Filed under: uncultured bacterium
Lineage: Bacteria
Description: bacterial SSU rRNA
Rfam family: Bacterial small subunit ribosomal RNA
Source: RNAcentral